Molecule: unclassified non-coding RNA, 95 nt
Organism: Dasypus novemcinctus (nine-banded armadillo)
Lineage: Eukaryota; Metazoa; Chordata; Mammalia; Cingulata; Dasypodidae
Source: Ensembl
CAGGACAGGUACAGCACAGGCAGGGACAGUGAGAGCUUUCCCCACACCACCCCUUCCAUGUGCCUCAACCCUGACCUGGAGGGACCAUCUCUAGA